UACGAAGGGGGCAAGCGUUGUCCGGAUUUAUUGGGCGUAAAGAGCGUGUAGGCGGCCAGGUAGGUCGGUUGUGAAAACUGGAGGCUCAACCUUCAGACGUCGACCGAAACCAUCUGGCUAGAGUCCGGGAGAGGAGAGUGGAAUUCCUGGUGUAGCGGUGAAAUGCGCAGAUAUCAGGAAGAACACCCGUGGCGAAAGCGGCUCUCUGGAACGGUACUGACGCUGAGACGCGAAAGCGUGGGGAGCGAACAGG
Molecule: ribosomal RNA, 253 nt
Filed under: uncultured bacterium
Lineage: Bacteria
Description: partial 16S ribosomal RNA
Rfam family: Bacterial small subunit ribosomal RNA
Source: RNAcentral